This 447-nucleotide ribosomal RNA is filed under the name uncultured bacterium. RNAcentral describes it as "bacterial SSU rRNA". It matches the Rfam family "Bacterial small subunit ribosomal RNA", at positions 29 to 485 of the family's 1533-position model. The record is from RNAcentral.
AAUGAACGUUGGCGGCAUGGAUUAGGCAUGCAAGUCGAGCGGUAAGGCCCCGCAAGGGGUACACGAGCGGCGUAAGGGACAGUAAUGUGUAGGUACGUACCUCCGGGCCUGGGAUAGCUGCGGGAAACUGCAAUUAAUACCAGAUGAUGUCUCCGGACCAAAGGUGUGAUUCCGCCGGGAGAGCGGCCUACAUCCUAUUAGCUAGUUGGCGGGGUAACGGCCCACCAAGGCUCAGAUGGGUAGCAGGUGUGAGAGCACGACCUGCGUCACUGGGACUGAGACACUGCCCAGACACCUACGGGUGGCUGCAGUCGAGAAUCUUCGGCAAUGAGCGCAAGCUUGACCGAGCAAUGCCGCGUGCGGGAUGAAGGCCUCGGGUUGUAAACCGCUGUCAGAGGGAACGAAAGUUUACAGUGGGUUCUCCCAUUGGAUUGACUGAUCCUCAAA